Molecule: ribosomal RNA, 253 nt
Filed under: uncultured bacterium
Lineage: Bacteria
Description: partial 16S ribosomal RNA
Rfam family: Bacterial small subunit ribosomal RNA
Source: RNAcentral
UACGUAGGCAGCGAGCGUUGUUCGGAAUUAUUGGGCGUAAAGAGUGUGUAGGCGGUGUUCUAAGUCUGUCGUGAAAUCUCCCGGCUUAACUGGGAGGGUGCGGCGGAAACUGGAAUGCUAGAGGGUGGGAGAGGUAAGCGGAAUUCCUGGUGUAGCGGUGAAAUGCGUAGAUAUCAGGAGGAACACCUGUGGUGUAGACAGCUUACUGGACCACUUCUGACGCUGAGACACGAAAGCGUGGGUAGCAAACAGG